RNAcentral lists this long non-coding RNA (547 nucleotides) under Bos taurus (domestic cattle). Its description in RNAcentral is "long non-coding RNA NONBTAT017246". The record is from RNAcentral. Lineage: Eukaryota; Metazoa; Chordata; Mammalia; Artiodactyla; Bovidae.
GGCGACAGAAGACCUGGCUGAGUCAACCAAGGGAAACACAAAUUAGUCUCAUUCCUUAGUUCCAGUCCUUCCUUGAAUUUACCUGGUAACUUUACUCCGGUUUCUCCCUGCCUCACACGGGGUGAAGGCCAAGCCAGGACAAACGUGAGCUAAGUGUAGAGCCUCUGCUAAUGUUUCUCCAACAGCUUGUGACCACCCCGGUUCUUAUUAUCAUUUCUCAACAGGAAGGUAGCUGAGAGAAGAGAAGGAAGCUGGUAAAAUCUCCCUCAAUGAAUUGUCAACUUUGGAAUACAGUGAUGCCCUUCAGAUCUGGCUGGUUUGCAAAGCAAACCAGUAUGGAGAACAAAAAAUUUGGUGAAGUAGGUAGAGAUAUGGGGCAAAGUCAAACUACUUGGGAUGUGACUUCACAAUUUCAGUUGUGAACACCACCUAAAACACUCAGAGGCCGCUGCAGUAUCCGCAGAAUACUGAAUUACACCGUGCCACUGAGAGCUGUAAUCAUUCCUACAGUAGCAAUGCAUGGUUUUCAGAAAGUUACAGACCCUGA